RNAcentral lists this long non-coding RNA (6049 nucleotides) under Sus scrofa (pig). RNAcentral's name for it is "lncRNA (ENSSSCG00005033033.1)". The record is from RNAcentral. Lineage: Eukaryota; Metazoa; Chordata; Mammalia; Artiodactyla; Suidae.
UUUUUUUUUUUUUUUUUUUUUUUUUUUUUAAUGGUGCACCCAAGGCAUACGGACGUUUCUGGGCCAGGAUGAAUCCGAGCUGCAGCUGAGGCAAUGCUAGAUUCUUUAACCCACUGUGCUGGGCCCGGGAUCAAACCCAUGCCUCUGCAGCAACCUGAGCCCCUGCAAUCAGCUUUUUAACCCACUGUACCACUGCAGGAACACCGAUCCAUCUUUUUAAAACCACGGAGAUUUAAUCUGUGGCCGUAUCUAUGACCUCUCCAGGAGAAUGUUCCACGUGCACUUGAGGAGAGUGUGUAUGCUGUUGCUGUCAGGUGCCAUGUUGUGUGUGUGUGUGUGUGUGUGUUCGAUGUACCUGGUUUACUGUACUGCUGAAGUCCUGUAUUUCACUUAUCUUCCGUCUAGUUGUUCUACCCAUUACUCUGAGUGAGGUACUGGAUUCUGCAACCAUGAUUGUAGAACAGUCUGUGUUUCCCUUCAAUUCUCUCAGUUUGGACUUCACAUAUUUAGAUGGUCUGACAUGAGGUGCACAAAUGCUUGUAACUGUUCCGUCUUCUUGAUGUACUGAAGCAUUUGCUAGCAUGUAAUGUCCUUCUCUGUCUCUUGUAACUGCUUAUGAUUUAAAGCCUAUUUAAUUUGAAAUUAGUAUAGCCAGUCCCAUCCUAUUCUGGUUACUAUUUGCAUGUAAUGUCUUCCUCCAUCCUUUCACUCUCUCAAAAAUAGUUUGUGUCUUUGGGUCUCAAGUGUGUCUCUCAUAGACAACAUGUAGUUAGAUCAUAUGUUUUUAAGCUGUUCUGCCAGUCUCUGUCUUUUGAGAUUGGAGGGUGUAAUCCACUUAUAUUUAAAGUAAUUACUGAUAAGGAGGCACUUAUUUCUGUCCUUAUGCUGUUUUUACUGUAGGCCUAUAGCUUUUUUGUCCCUCAUUCCCUACAUUCCUCUCUUUUGUGUUUAGUUCAUUUUUGGUAGUGAAGCGUUUAAAUUCCUCCUGGAAUUCCUUUUGUGUAUAUUCUAGAGUUUUCUUUGUGGUUGCCUUGGGAUUACAUUAGUGUCCUAACACUGUAACAUUCUAAUUUGAAUUUAUAGCAGCUUCACUUCAAUAACAUAUAAAAACUCUGCUCCUUUAUACUCUGUUCCCACUUCCUUUGGUUGCUGAUGUCACAAAAUAUGUGCCUCAAACAUAAACUAAUAAUUCUUGAAAUGAAUCAGUCUCAAAUUACCAGAUUUGGAGUUAUAAACCAAAGUUACAGUAAUACGAGCUAUUAUAUUAAUUUUUACUUUAAAUACUUAAAUCAUGUAGAAAACAAAGAGCAGCUACAAACCAGUGCUACAGGAGUUCCCGUUGUGGCUCAGUGGUUAACGAAUCCAACUAGGAACCAAGAGGUUGUGGGUUCGAUCCCUGGCCUCGCUCAGUGGGUUAAGGGUCUGGCAUUGCUGUGAGCUGUGGUGUAGGUCGCAGACGCUGCUCGGAUCCCGUGUUGCUGUGGCUGUGGUAUAGGCUAGCAGCUACAGCUCCAAUUAGACCUCUAGCCUGGGAACCUCCAUAUGCUGUGGGUGUGGCCCUAGAAAAGACAAAAAAAAACAAAACAAAACAGUGCUACAAAAAAACUAGCUAUUAUAACUGCCUGUGUAUCUACUGAGAUCUUUAUUUCUGCAUACAUCUUUGGGUUACUGUCUAGUGGUCACAAACUCCUCAGCUUUUGUUCAUCUGGGCAUGUCUGGAUUCUUCCCUCCCUUUUGAAGGACAGCUUUGCUGGAUACAUGAAUCUCCGUUGACAGGUUUUUUGUUUUUUCUUGAGGCACUUUGAAUGUAUCUGCUCACCAUCUUCUGGCCUCCACCAUCUUUUCAGGGACAGAUUUUGUUGAUACAUUUUUUUCCUCUGAAGGGCUACAAUUUCCUAUUUCUUUGUAUGCCCUAUGAUGGUUUUGCUGCAAAUCUUUGAAUCUAGUAAUAUGGUAACUCUGGAAAUCAGAUUCUUCCCCCUUCCCCAGGGUUUGCUGUUGUUAUUUUUUUUGGUCUGUUUAUUUCAUUUUGAUUGUUGUAGGCUGUCUCUGUGCCUAGGAUCAGCCUAAGGUAUAAACUUAAGGUCUUCUCUGGUCUUUUCUGAGCAUUUUCUUAGGAAUGCACAGUCACUUUCUAAUUUUACCCAUAUAUGCAGUUGUUUUUGAGUGUUCUAGUCUUUUAUGUGUGGCUCACAAGGGAGGAAAAAGCAAAAAUGAUAGAGGGGAGUGCUUGGCCUUUUAAUUCUCCUGUAAAUCACUUCAGCUGGAGGGGGAGGGACUUGCUACAAUGUUUGGAAAAGCAACAGUUGCUGUCCCACUUUUUGUUUAUGAUCAGAAGCAGCAAUCAGAGCACAGAUACCUGAUAUUUGGAGGACAGGGAUCAACUGACUAACCCUGGUCCCUACAAGCUGUGCCAAGCUGCUCCAAGAUCACAUGCAUAGCUGCCUGCCACUUAACUGUAUUAGGAGCUGAAACUGUCUAAAAUUAACUGCAAUUUGCCCUCUGAUUCUUCCCCUGAAAGUUACAAUUCUUCAACAGACUCCAGAGUUCCAGAAUAAUUACAUCAGACAGAUUCUGCCUGGGCCACUAUGGUCCAGGGGGGGAGAAGGAUUCCCAGUGCUUCCUGAUGUGCCAUCUCCCAGAAUCCUCUUUAAUGAUUUUUAAAGAAAGUUUUAAGGAAUGAGUUAUGAAGUACUUAAGAGUCCUCAGAGUUGAGUUAAGGCAAAUACAUUCUAUAGGAUGAACAUAUUAUAUAAAAGCACAAACCAGGAACAACUCAGCUAUGCUUUUGGAAAAAAUCUGGAGAGUGGUUACCCCUGGCAGAGGCAGGGUGGACAAUGGUUACAAGGUGGGCUGCUUAGGUUCCGUUUCUGUCUGGCUUCUUCUGGAUGCUGGUUAACAUGGGUCAAUUCAUGUUUGUGAAACUUUACUAAGCUAUGUACUUGUAAUAUGGGCACUUUUCUGUAGGUAUAGUACACCUCAAUACAGUUUUUUUAAUCUUAUAGGUUGAAGAUCUUGCUUGAAGUCUUAAAAAUGAAAUAUAUGCUGAAGGAAUUCACCUACCUCGGGAAGGAAAAUGUUUAUUUAUUUAUUUAGUUAGUUAGUUAGUUAGUUUGGUCUGUCCACACCCACCGCAUAUGGAGGUUCCCAGGCUAGGGUCUAUUUGGAGCUGCAGCUGCUGGCCUACAGCACAGCCACAGCAACAGUGGAUCCAAGCAGUGUCUGCGACCUACUCAGUUCACGGGAACACCAGAUCCUUAACCCACUGAGAAAGGCCGGGAAUCAAACCCACAUCCCCAUGGAUACUAGUCGGGUUUAUUGCUGCUGAGCCACAAUGGGAAUUCCGGAAAUUUAAAAAAAAUAAUUACAGAAGGCUUAUUCACUAUAGAGACACAUAGAGAUGGAACUUGGGGGAAAGACCAGAAGGUCUCUGAGCCUCAGAUUCCCCAAAUGAAGCAAAGGACUGAUAAUAACUAUCUGAUGAGGCUGUUGUAGAAAAUUAAAUAGGGCGACCUAGCUACCAAUAGGCCAGCAAAGUCAUUCCUUUUCCUCGCCCCCCCUUGUUUUCUUUCCUGGUUUUCUAAAGCAACGCCCUCUGACAUGACUUGUGGUGAAGCAAAUGCUCUCCAGCUGCACUGGUGAACAUGCAGCCACUGGCUGUGUGGCCACUGAGCACUUCAAACAGGGCUACCGGGACUGCGGGACUGCGUUUUUAACUUUGCUUGAUUUUAAAUUGUAUGCCGAGUGGCCACUGUGUUAAGCAGCACAAUCCUAGAUCUUGAGAAGUAGAAGAGCUUCGGGCAAUUACUUCUUGGUCCCAUAUGUGCUCUAAGCCUUGACUGGCUAUGACCUCCCACAGUGCCUACUUGCCAGAAUUUUAAAUUCCAUGAAGAAUAGGAUUUGGGGCCGUUUCAUUCACUACUGUUCCCUAUAUUCACGGUGCCGACAAGGCCAGCACACGGUAAACAGUAAACACCUGUUUGGAUGAAUAAAAUAAAAUUGAAUUAACCCAGACUUAUUUGCAUAUUUUUGUGGGGUUAUUUUUACAUAACACUUUUAAUAUCCGAUUGAACAUAUUCAUUUUGAGAAGCGUAAUGAAAGACAGAUCCAAAAAUAAGUUAUGAAGAGAAAUUAAGAUGUCUAGAGUGUGGCCACCACACUUUAAAGUUGAAGCCACAAGGGGCAACUAUAGUCGCACCCCCAAGUUCCCAGAGGAAGAAGAACCAGCUUCUGUGGACGAUGACCAGGAAGACUACAAGCCCCAGUCUUUUAGGGACAGCCCCAAUUUAAACCACUGGUCCCAACAAAACACACCUUUCAUGCUCUGAUGUGCCCAGUUUAGAAGCGAGACAGUCAUGCUGAACCCAACUCAGGAUGGCAGGAACGACAAUGUACUCAAAGCGGAGUGAUGGGUUCCAGGUAAGCUGUGUGGCAAUCACCUUGUAAAAACUGCAUCUUAUUUUGAACAUACGAGGGAAGCUUAAAAGACCCUUAAGUGGACUUCUUGUAAGAGAGGAAUAUUCAUUUUUGAGAUCCAUGACCUAUAGCCCCAGUGGUGUUGGAAUCCAGAAUCCCAGUGGGACAGAAGAAGCAGGUCUUCAUCAGAGCAGCCCAAGCCCCACGUUACCUGCAAUGGCCACAGCUGUUCGUCUCUCGGAGGCUUUUAUUUCUGGGGCCACGUCUCCCAAAUCUGAGUGCCUGAAACAAUUUCAGAAGAAAAGCAUAAUUAAAUUAAUGACACACAACUGUCACUUAUCAAAUUGGCUGCACAUCAAAACUUCUUGAGGCGCCCACCUGUUUUUUCUUUUCUUUUUUUUGGGGGGGGGGCGCUGCACCCAUGACAUAGGGAAUUCCCAUUUGCAGACAAGAAGAUGCUGGAUACUGUUAUGGAAUGACGUUAACGACACGUUCAUUGGUGGAGGAAACGUCAGCUCACAGCAGAGUAUGUACAGUCUGAUUACUAUUUCAUAAAACUAGGUCCAUUUUUCUCUAGGUGCAUACAGGGAGCUCUACCAGGAUGUGCAUCUAAAGUUCACAGUGUGAGCAGGAAGGGAUGAUCCUGAAUUUAUUUAAGCAGGUUGGAUAAGUAGAGUCUAUUUAGGAUGAGCCACGGGAGGAGUUCCUGUUGUGGCUCAGAGGUUAGCGAACCCGACUAGCAUCCAUGAGGCCACGGGUUAGAUCCCUGGCCUCCCUUGGUGGGUUAAGCAUCCGGCGUUGCCGUGAGCUGUGGUGUAGGUCACAGAUGUGGCCAGGGUUGCUGUGGCUGUGGUGGAGGCCUGCAGCUGCAGUUUCAAUCCGACCCCUUGGCUGGGAACUUCCACAUGCCGCAGGUAUAGCCGUAAAAAGAAAGAAAAACAAAAUGGAUUAUUUUAGGUAUAUCGUAGGAAUGAGUGAAAUGUGUUGCUUCCCUCAGAAGUCAGGGUUCCGCUGCUGAAGAAAGGGCAUACACAUGAGGAAUGGAGGAAGUUAGAAAAGAACUCACAGAGGCCCACUGGGAUCGGCGAUGCCAGCGUGCACUCGUGAUUUCUCUGCGCGUGCUCAUGUCCACAAGUGCACCCAUCGUGUAUACGUUUCCUAGCUCUGUCCACUGAACAGCCAUGAAGCAAGGCCACUGUAGUAGCAGCGGGCACACCGAGCACUCUUGAAUAUCAUUCCUCACUAAAAGACACCAGGUCCCCUUGAAGAAACUGUAGACCCCAGGGCUGGAGCAGCCAAAGAACACCAUGAGCCUGAGUAUCUUAAUUCAGAAAAUUUCGAAGUGCUCAAAAAAAAAAAACCAAAACAAAACGCCGGGGCAUAUCACAGGACAGAGAAGCCCUUUUGAAGGGGUUCCCACUACCAAGUGUGAGUCAACUGGAGCAUGAAUAUUAUUAAAUACAGGAACUGACUUAAAACCAUUGACGAACAGGCAUUAGGGAGUCCAUAUAUACAACAAACAGAUAAAGCGGGGGUGGGUGGGGGGGUGGGCUCUGGCUUCUAACAGAAUGCGCAUGUGGAAGGGUGUGGCAGGUGGAAGAGCAUCACUUUUAGAGCCAUCCUCAUCAAGAAU